GAUUCCGUAGCUCAGCUGGGAGAGCGCUACCUUGACAGGGUAGAGGUCGCUGGUUCGAGCCCCAGUCGGAAUCA
RNAcentral lists this transfer RNA (74 nucleotides) under Bacillus licheniformis. RNAcentral's name for it is "tRNA-Val". It matches the Rfam family "tRNA". Rfam says of the family: Transfer RNA (tRNA) molecules are approximately 80 nucleotides in length. Lineage: Bacteria; Bacillati; Bacillota; Bacilli; Caryophanales; Bacillaceae. The record is from RNAcentral.